Molecule: transfer RNA, 74 nt
Filed under: Saccoglossus kowalevskii
Lineage: Eukaryota; Metazoa; Hemichordata; Enteropneusta; Harrimaniidae
Description: tRNA-Asn
Rfam family: tRNA
About the family: Transfer RNA (tRNA) molecules are approximately 80 nucleotides in length.
Source: RNAcentral
GUCUCUGUGGCGCAAUCGGUUAGCGCGUUCGGCUGUUAACUAAAGGGUUGGUGGUUCAAGCCCACCCAGGGACG